This 29-nucleotide non-coding RNA is filed under the name Mus musculus (house mouse). Lineage: Eukaryota; Metazoa; Chordata; Mammalia; Rodentia; Muridae. The record is from RNAcentral.
UCUGUGCAGUUCUGCCAAGGAAGUCUCGA